ACAUUUAUAAGGUUUAUCUCCAGUGUGUGUUCUUAUGUGACUCAGUAAGCUAUUACUCUGACUAAACCCUUUACCACAUACAUCACAUUUAUAGGAUUUAUCUCCAGUGUGUGUUCUCAAGUGUGUCUGUAAGUUACCAAUCUGACUAAACCCUUUACCACAUACAUCACAUUUAUAAGGUUUAUCUCCAGUGUGUGUUCUAAUGUGUUUCUGUAAGUCACCAUUCUGACUAAACCCUUUACCACAUACAUCACAUUUAUAAGGUUUAUCUCCAGUAUGUGUUCUCAUGUGUCUCUGUAAGUUACCAAAAUCACUAAACCCAGUACCACAUACAUCACAUUUAUAAGGUUUAUCUCUAGUGUGUGUUCUCAUGUGUUUCUGUAAAUCUUGACUCUGACUAAACCCUUUACCACAAACAUCACAUUUAAAAGGUUUAUCUCCAGUGUGUGUUCUCAUGUGUGUCUGUAAGUUACAACUCACACUAAACCCUUUACCACAUACAUCACAUUUA
This 511-nucleotide long non-coding RNA is filed under the name Mytilus galloprovincialis (Mediterranean mussel). The record is from RNAcentral. Lineage: Eukaryota; Metazoa; Mollusca; Bivalvia; Mytilida; Mytilidae.